Molecule: non-coding RNA, 92 nt
Organism: Mycena leptocephala
Lineage: Eukaryota; Fungi; Basidiomycota; Agaricomycetes; Agaricales; Mycenaceae
Source: the annotation of a GenBank genome assembly
GGCUCGGUGGCGGAUGGUCCGCGCCUGCAAAUAUUAUACUGGACCGUGGAUGUAUUUAAGCAGGAAUCCUCGUUCGAUUCGAGGCCGAGCCA